RNAcentral lists this ribosomal RNA (570 nucleotides) under Salmonella enterica. RNAcentral's name for it is "bacterial SSU rRNA". It matches the Rfam family "Bacterial small subunit ribosomal RNA", at positions 108 to 674 of the family's 1533-position model. The record is from RNAcentral. Lineage: Bacteria; Pseudomonadati; Pseudomonadota; Gammaproteobacteria; Enterobacterales; Enterobacteriaceae.
GAGUAAUGUCUGGGAAACUGCCUGAUGGAGGGGGAUAACUACUGGAAACGGUGGCUAAUACCGCAUAACGUCGCAAGACCAAAGAGGGGGACCUUCGGGCCUCUUGCCAUCAGAUGUGCCCAGAUGGGAUUAGCUUGUUGGUGAGGUAACGGCUCACCAAGGCGACGAUCCCUAGCUGGUCUGAGAGGAUGACCAGCCACACUGGAACUGAGACACGGUCCAGACUCCUACGGGAGGCAGCAGUGGGGAAUAUUGCACAAUGGGCGCAAGCCUGAUGCAGCCAUGCCGCGUGUAUGAAGAAGGCCUUCGGGUUGUAAAGUACUUUCAGCGGGGAGGAAGGUGUUGUGGUUAAUAACCGCAGCAAUUGACGUUACCCGCAGAAGAAGCACCGGCUAACUCCGUGCCAGCAGCCGCGGUAAUACGGAGGGUGCAAGCGUUAAUCGGAAUUACUGGGCGUAAAGCGCACGCAGGCGGUCUGUCAAGUCGGAUGUGAAAUCCCCGGGCUCAACCUGGGAACUGCAUUCGAAACUGGCAGGCUUGAGUCUUGUAGAGGGGGGUAGAAUUCCAGGU